This 619-nucleotide ribosomal RNA is filed under the name uncultured Gammaproteobacteria bacterium. RNAcentral's name for it is "partial 16S ribosomal RNA". It matches the Rfam family "Bacterial small subunit ribosomal RNA", at positions 1 to 601 of the family's 1533-position model. The record is from RNAcentral. Lineage: Bacteria; Pseudomonadati; Pseudomonadota; Gammaproteobacteria.
UGCUCCCGGCCGCCAUGGCGGCCGCGGGAAUUCGAUUAGAGUUUGAUCAUGGCUCAGAUUGAACGCUGGCGGCAGGCCUAACACACGCGAGUCGAGCGGUAGAGAGGUGCUUGCACCUCUUGAGAGCGGCGGACGGGUGAGUAAUGCCUAGGAAUCUGCCUGGUAGUGGGGGAUAACGCUCGGAAACGGACGCUAAUACCGCAUACGUCCUACGGGAGAAAGCAGGGGACCUUCGGGCCUUGCGCUAUCAGAUGAGCCUAGGUCGGAUUAGCUAGUUGGUAGGGUAAAGGCCUACCAAGGCGACGAUCCGUAGCUGGUCUGAGAGGACGGCCAGCCACACUGGGACUGAGACACGGCCCAGACUCCUACGGGAGGCAGCAGUGGGGGAUAUUGGACAAUGGGGGGAACCCUGAUCCAGCGAUGCCGCGUGUGUGAAGAAGGCCUUCAAGGUUGUAAAGCACUUUAGGAGAGGAAGAAGGGGUUAACCUGAAGAAGGGUAGUUCUUGACGGUACUCUCAGAAUAAGCACCGGCUAACUCUGUGCCAGCAGCCGCGGUAAUACGAAUCACUAGUGAAUUCGCGGCCGCCUGCAGGUCGACCAUAUGGGAGAGCUCCCAACG